AUUCUUUUAGUAUCAAUCAGUACAACUGACUUCCAAUCAGUUAGUUCCAGCAUAAUCUGGAAAAGAAUA
Molecule: transfer RNA, 69 nt
Filed under: Anoura geoffroyi (Geoffroy's tailless bat)
Lineage: Eukaryota; Metazoa; Chordata; Mammalia; Chiroptera; Phyllostomidae
Description: tRNA-Gly
Source: RNAcentral